This 1553-nucleotide unclassified non-coding RNA is filed under the name Pomacea canaliculata. RNAcentral describes it as "dNA repair protein RAD51 homolog 2-like, transcript variant X7". Lineage: Eukaryota; Metazoa; Mollusca; Gastropoda; Architaenioglossa; Ampullariidae. The record is from RNAcentral.
GGGAUUUAAUAAUUUAAAAGGCGCCUUGAUCGCUCCUCGUAUCUUGAUUAGGUUACUGAUUAUCGUUCUUGCCUAAAUCGUCUCCCUUAUUCGAAACGUCGCGCGAAGCAGAGCGAGUACGCAAACUUAUUCAGUUAUUGGUUUCAGUUUUUCCCCACUUCUCUUGUGGUAGCUACAUCGUCAGCUUGAAAGUUCAUUGUGCAACCUACAUAUGGCAUGCAAACGUUUGCAAAGAGUAGAUAUCAGAAAUGAUCUUCGAGAUCGACUUCUUUCUCAAGACAUAAAAUCCUGUGGGGAUGUGUUAUGCAUGUCAUCACUGGAGCUAAUGAAGGUGACUGGAUGCUGUGGAUUAACAGUUAAAGAGAUUAUCCAAAAAUGCAGCACUUCAGCUGCGCCAGCACCAGUUAUUGCCCUUGACAUGUUAAAAAGGAGAAAACAAGUAAAAGGAUUUUUAUCAACUUCCUUUCCAGACCUUGACCAUGUACUUCAUGGAGGAUUUCCAUCUGGAACCAUCACUGAGAUUGCAGGACCUUCAGGAUGUGGUAAAACACAAUUUUGUUUGACACUUGCUGUGCUUGCCACGUUGCCAGUCAGCAAUGGCGGCUGUGGAGGAACUGUUUUGUUUAUUGACACAGAAGGAGCCUUUAGUGCAGAGAGGCUUGUGGAAAUUGCACGGUGUCGUUUGCCUGAACUCUUUAAGGAUGAUGACAGCUUACACCAGCUGGUCAGUAAUGUCUACAUAGACCUGAUCCAGACUUGUAAAAACCUUAUGAACAGGCUGAAAAAUCUGGAAGAGGACUUGAUCAGCAAGAAUGUGCGGCUGCUAAUUGUAGAUUCUGUGGCAUCACUUGUCCGUAAAGAAUUUGGCUCACUUCAGGAUGGCAUGAUGCGACGUACAGACUUUCUAACUGCAGAAGCAGGACUGCUCAAACACAUAGCUGAGACUUUCUCAAUACCAGUAGUCGUGACGAACCAGAUCACAACCCGUUUCGGAAUUACGCAUGCUCAAUCUUCAGACAGCAGCAGUUACGAUAAAUUGGAGUCAGGCGACGGUAAGAAGACGCUAGGCAGCUCUGUGGAGAUGGACGGGGAGGAUACCUACAUGACUGCAGCGCUAGGGAAUACCUGGAGUCACUGCGUCAACACCCGACUUAUCUUGCAGUUCCUACCCGAGCGGAGAAGACAGAUGUUAGUCGCGAAAUCGCCUGUUGCACCUUUCACCUGUUUUGACAUCAUCAUCAAAGAUGAAGGUGUUCUUCAAGACGUGCAAGGCCAAGGCCACUACGUGGGCACAGACCCCAGCAAGCAAGAAAUCAAGUGUCGAAGAGGAAUAGCUGUACAGACAUCUCAGUGGUGAUCGAGCUGUGAAUGGAGAACUGGCCCCAAGAGGAGUAUGCAGUUCCUAAUUUGAAACCCAAAAGUGUUGUGCCGUGCUGACACCGGGUCAGGUGUGGCGGUCCACCCAUGUCAGCCACAGGUAAAGGCGACUGAGGGCAACAACAGAGAUUUGAUUGCGGAGAACGUGACACAAACACAUCACUGAAAGCCUCCAG